Long non-coding RNA from Acanthaster planci (crown-of-thorns starfish), 223 nucleotides. The record is from RefSeq and is a predicted model, not a curated record. NCBI's taxonomy places the organism in Eukaryota, Metazoa, Echinodermata, Asteroidea, Valvatida, Acanthasteridae.
CAACUGUAAUUCGACCAGCUGCAUCCCAAACAAGUGGCAUUGCGAUGGUUCCACAGACUGCGACAAUGGAUACGACGAGGAAAAUUGCCCUUUGCCGCCAACACCACCUACACCUUCACCAACAUGCGCCAAGCCAGAAGAUCAAGCAAUUUGCAAAGACUGUCGAGAACGAGCCUGCAAAGACGUAACAUGCUAUGAAAUGCCACAGGACCUGUGUUGUGAA